Nicotiana tabacum (common tobacco) is the source of this 590-nucleotide long non-coding RNA. RefSeq lists it as uncharacterized. The record is from RefSeq and is a predicted model, not a curated record. Lineage: Eukaryota; Viridiplantae; Streptophyta; Magnoliopsida; Solanales; Solanaceae.
CCCUGAAAAAUUUCGUCCACCAACAAGCCAUCCUCUAGUAUCGACAAUCCCAACUGUUUAGUAAAGCCCAAGGUUGACCAACAAUAACCAGUAAAAAAUAAGUGGAUUUUACCCUAUUUCAUCAUGUCCAAUAAUUAGAACUCUGAUUGUUAUUGAAAUUGGAGAAGAUUUUAUUUAAUUGGUGAACCGACCCAGAUAAAAGGGUUUAUAGGAAGCAAAAAGGAUGUUGAAGAUCCAUUUAACUGACCCGAGCUUUCACUCAGGGAGUAGUGGCCGAAAAGGCAAUCUUUAAUAGUCAUUGUUCAGUUUAUCAUUUAGCUUUGCAGAUUGACUUGGAAUGAAGCCACAGAGAAACACACAUAUUGGGUGAGUAUGAAAAUACUUGAGGUUUUUGUUUCCACACGGUUGUGAUCUUAUUGGAAAUAUGCAGAAGAAGAAAAAUUGAGAGAAAGAAAUGGGAAAGGAUUAUCAGGAUGAGGGGUGGGGAAGAGAAUGAACUUUUCUUUUAUAUUGAAGAUGUGAAAAACGGAAAAACUUGUUUAUUAGUUUUUCUGGAUUUUUAAUUACAUGUGCAAUAUUUUUGUUUAAAA